RNAcentral lists this ribosomal RNA (775 nucleotides) under Halomonas sp. M2B-2. RNAcentral describes it as "bacterial SSU rRNA". It matches the Rfam family "Bacterial small subunit ribosomal RNA", at positions 62 to 831 of the family's 1533-position model. The record is from RNAcentral. Lineage: Bacteria; Pseudomonadati; Pseudomonadota; Gammaproteobacteria; Oceanospirillales; Halomonadaceae. RNAcentral also lists the same sequence under 7 other names.
UCGAGCGGAACGAUGGAGCUUGCUCCAGGCGUCGAGCGGCGGACGGGUGAGUAAUGCAUAGGAAUCUGCCCGAUAGUGGGGGAUAACCUGGGGAAACCCAGGCUAAUACCGCAUACGUCCUACGGGAGAAAGCAGGGGAUCUUCGGACCUUGCGCUAUCGGAUGAGCCUAUGUCGGAUUAGCUUGUUGGUGAGGUAAUGGCUCACCAAGGCGACGAUCCGUAGCUGGUCUGAGAGGAUGAUCAGCCACAUCGGGACUGAGACACGGCCCGAACUCCUACGGGAGGCAGCAGUGGGGAAUAUUGGACAAUGGGCGAAAGCCUGAUCCAGCCAUGCCGCGUGUGUGAAGAAGGCUUUCGGGUUGUAAAGCACUUUCAGUGAGGAAGAACGCCUCGGGGCCAAUACCCCCGAGGAAGGACAUCACUCACAGAAGAAGCACCGGCUAACUCCGUGCCAGCAGCCGCGGUAAUACGGAGGGUGCAAGCGUUAAUCGGAAUUACUGGGCGUAAAGCGCGCGUAGGUGGCUUGAUAAGCCGGUUGUGAAAGCCCCGGGCUCAACCUGGGAACGGCAUCCGGAACUGUCAGGCUAGAGUGCAGGAGAGGAAGGUAGAAUUCCCGGUGUAGCGGUGAAAUGCGUAGAGAUCGGGAGGAAUACCAGUGGCGAAGGCGGCCUUCUGGACUGACACUGACACUGAGGUGCGAAAGCGUGGGUAGCAAACAGGAUUAGAUACCCUGGUAGUCCACGCCGUAAACGAUGUCGACUAGCCGUUGGGGUCC